AAUUCCUGGCUCAGGAUGAACGCUAGCGACAGGCUUAACACAUGCAAGUCGAGGGGCAGCAUGAUAAGUAGCAAUACUUAUUGAUGGCGACCGGCGCACGGGUGAGUAACGCGUAUGCAACUUACCUAUCAGAGGGGGAUAGCCCGGCGAAAGUCGGAUUAAUACUCCAUAAAACAGGGGUUCCGCAUGGGACUAUUUGUUAAAGAUUCAUCGCUGAUAGAUAGGCAUGCGUUCCA
RNAcentral lists this ribosomal RNA (236 nucleotides) under uncultured bacterium. Its description in RNAcentral is "partial 16S ribosomal RNA". It matches the Rfam family "Bacterial small subunit ribosomal RNA", at positions 14 to 240 of the family's 1533-position model. The record is from RNAcentral.